GCCACAUUUCAGUGAGUUUUUCCUCAAUCAAGAUUUUUUAUGCUAUAUACCGAGAAAAAGUUUCCUUCAUUUAAACCUGUAAACCAGCUUAUUUUAUCAGAUACUUUAUUUAACUUCAAUAUGUCUGACUGACUUCGCAGAUUAUUUUUUUUCUUGAUGUUUUAUAUUUCAAUUAAUGAUUCAAGUUUGUUAUUCACGCUAUUUAUCAAAUCAUCAAGGUGUGAAAAAACUUGGUUUACACUAGUGGGCAUAUUCUCUCCUAGUCUUUGCUUUUAUUCAACUUGAUAACAAUCAAAUAGAUGUGCAGUGAAAAUAUGAAUAAGGUCUCAAUUAAUCUUCAACUGAAAAAAUAACUUUUGAAUAAAUAGUUUGUUUUUGAAGAUUUGACUUUAAAAAAUGUACUACAUGUAUUUCUAUUUAAUAAAAAAAAAAUGUACAUAUUCAGAUCGAUUGAUUGAUGUUGAAAGUAUCCCACUUUCAACACCGUGGGAUAUAUCAUGACAGCCAGUUUUCAUAUGUAGAUGAAGACAGUGUACCUGAAAACAACCUUCAGCAGGAAAACUUUCUAGUCAAUCAAAUUAGGAGUGAAAUGCACCCAACAUGAGCGGGGCUUCAACUCACAUUCUCAGUGUUGACAGGCUAAGUAUGACUGCAGAAUAAUUACUUAAACAACCCAGCCACCGAGAUCCUAGUACAUUUUAUAAGAACUACUUUGGGCGUGUUUAACGACGUUGACUACCCAUAAGGGUCUCGUACAGUCGGUAUUAUAACAAAUGCUAAUUGGUUAAAGAAAAUUACUAUAUUAAAUCAAUACUCCUAUUUUAUAUUUCACUAUUGUUGUAUUUUUCAUACACGUCAUAAUUUUACUUUACUACCUGAAAUGUGGCUCACUGAUGAAUUCACAAAUUUUAACAGUUCUCAAUAAAAACAAAUAUGAAAAUAGAAUCUAGUGAAUAGAUAGUUUCUAAUAUUGAAAUUUGAGAGGGAAAAUGCAAAGUAAUAAUACUUCUCUAAACUCUAAGUGCAAAAAUACAUACUUAGUACUCCUCUUAAUUUACAACAAAC
RNAcentral lists this long non-coding RNA (1065 nucleotides) under Mytilus galloprovincialis (Mediterranean mussel). Lineage: Eukaryota; Metazoa; Mollusca; Bivalvia; Mytilida; Mytilidae. The record is from RNAcentral.